This 253-nucleotide ribosomal RNA is filed under the name uncultured bacterium. RNAcentral's name for it is "partial 16S ribosomal RNA". It matches the Rfam family "Bacterial small subunit ribosomal RNA", at positions 524 to 776 of the family's 1533-position model. The record is from RNAcentral.
UACGAGGGGGGCGAGCGUUAUUCGGAAUUAUUGGGCGUAAAGUGCGUGUAGGUGGCUAUAUAAGUCAAGUGUGAAAGACUACAGCUUAACUGUGGAGGUGCACUUGAAACUAUAAUGCUAGAGGGUGGAAGAGAAAAGUGGAAUUCUCGGAGUAGCGGUUAAAUGCGUGGAUCUCGAGAGGAACACCGAUGGCGAAGGCAGCUUUUUGGUCCACAACUGACACUAAAGCGCGAAGGCGUGGGGAGCAAACAGG